Ahaetulla prasina is the source of this 3185-nucleotide long non-coding RNA. RefSeq lists it as uncharacterized. Lineage: Eukaryota; Metazoa; Chordata; Lepidosauria; Squamata; Colubridae. The record is from RefSeq and is a predicted model, not a curated record. The transcript has 3 exons.
UCCGCCCGCGUUUGGAGGAGUUCCUCGCAGAAAUCUCCAGCUUUGACAACGAGGAAGAAACUUUAAAGAAGCUGACCAAACGUUGGUGCCGCUGAGGUUCAGGGCAGCGUGAAGCUUCCUAACCCCAGUAAUCUCUGUGACCAAAUCUUGGAUAUGGAGGAACCAUCUCCCACUCAAACCUACCAAGACUGAAUGGCUGUGGUGAUUGGGCCAGUCAGAUCUCAGGAUAUUCCAUCUUUGACCUUGGAUGCCGUAGCUUUAAAACUCUUCAAGGGGAUGCUUCAGAAAGUCAUCAUGCCUUAUCGUCUUGUAGCUUGAUUACUGUACACAGUUUACAUGGGUGUGCCCUUGAAGACCUUCUGGAAGCUUCAUGUGGUCCUGAAUGCAGCAAUGUGAACAGCAGUGGACAUAACUUGUAUGCCCAUGUGACACUUCUGUUCCAAGAGCUGUACUGGUUGCUGGUUCAUCAUAUUUGCCAUCUUUUAUCUUUAUACUUAUACGAUUUGUUUUAUUGAUUUUAGUGCAAUAUUUUUGUUGUGAGCCAUCCAUUCAACUAUAGUUGGUCACACACUGCUAGAUUGGAUCUGGCAUUUUUGUUCUCUUACCGAGUCUUUCCUAAGGACCUGGAAUUGUCAGAAGGUGUUGUUUAAUAAUAUUUAGGAUAUUGCUGCAGGAUAUGAACUGUUCCAAGUAAAGCUGCCUUUUGCAAUUGACUGAUGAUGAUUUUGUCAAUGCCAAUGAUGUUCAAAUAGUGUUCCAAAAGUUUUGGAAUUGCACUCAAGAUGACUAUUACAAUUGGUAUUAUUUUUGCUUCGUUUUGCCAUAGUUGUUCUACUUCUAUUUGCAGAUCUUUAUAUUUUGUUGUUUUCUCCAAUUCUUUCUCUUCUAUUUUGUUGUCUCUAGGUAUUGCAAUGUUUACUAUCCAAUUAACAAUUGGAUAGUAAUUGUUAAUUGUUAAUCUUGUGUAUUGUGUGGCAGACGCUUGUCCUCUUCUCAACUCUGGCUUUGUAUGCAUUUUUCUUAAGAUGUGGUCUUAUACAGCCAGAAUUGGCCUUUCUUUCUGUUUCUUUCUUCAGCUUUCCUGUUCUUAGUCAUUGCCAGGUCUUGUUGUUAUCUGCUUGGCCUGCUUUUUUUUUUUUUAAUGUACUGGCCAUGUUAUCUUUUGUCUUACCAAGUCGCAUUUUGUCUUUCUUGGAAGCCUAUUGAGUCUCUCCAGUACUCAGUAAGCUUUCAUGGCGCACUAACUUCAGUGCAUUUUUUUCACAGUCCUUGCGAUAGUCUUCCAAUGCCCUUUUUCCUUUUUCAAUUGUCUGGUGUACUUACAACCUUCCACACCCUCCUAUUUUCCUUGGUAAUUAUUGUCUGUCAACAUUGCUGCAUAUAUAAAGGGUAUGAUUCAUCGUCAUUGUUUUUCUGAACUUCCUAUCCAAGGUUUUUCAUUCUCUUUGAAUCCACUCCACUGUUGCUCAGAUGGAAAUUUUGUCAAUGGAAAUAUUUUCUAAAUGCCAUUUAAGAUUUUUUAGUAUGACACCCAGGGUUGCUAUUGUAGCACAUUUCUCUAGGUCAAAUUCCAUUGCUAUAUUUGUGCUAAACUUCUUACGAUGUUUGUCAGUCAAGUUUUGUUUUCUUAAAUCAUUGAAAUUGCAAUCAUAUUAUUAUUACAGGGCCUAGCUUCUUAAAUUUGGGUCAGAAAUGCAUUAAUUAUCACAAAAUGGGUAAUAAAUGAUUUUGUCUACCAAGAAAAAUAAGUGGUUUACAUCGGGAGACAAUUGAAAUUUUCAAAUCUCUCUGAAAGUAUCCCAUAAAUACUAUCAUCUUCUUCCAUUAGCAAUAAAAAUGAAAACUAGUAGCAGUCAAAAAUAACUGGAUAGUGCCCUCGUCUGUUCAUUACAUGUCUAACAUAUUUUAGUAUGUCAUUUAUUUUAAUACAGUUCUUUAUAUAUUUUAUGAAACAAAUCUCAAGGCAUUUUUGUGAUGUUCCUGUAUGUAUUUAUUAUGAACUUUUAGGAAACCAACUGAUUUACUUAUAAGUAUUUAAAAUGUUUUCAGUAAUAAGUAGUUAUUACAGAUUUUUGAAUCCAUGGACAUCAGUUCAUAUGUCUGGACUUCGUUGCCCGCAGAAGCAGCAUUCAGCAAGAAUAUGAAUAUUGCUAUGCUGUACACUCUACUGAUUUGAAUAGACAAGCAUCUGUGUUUCACAAGAAAGACUAUAUAAUUAAUAAAAUAAAAUAAACCUUGAGUACAACUGGUGGAACUCUCAGGGUGAAUCAGAUCAAGCAUGAAUGAAAGCCCAUUAAAGCAUUAUUCCCUAAUGGAGGAGUUAACAAAGAAGGCUUGGCUUUCUGUCUCCAUUGUGUUGGUAUCGAGUAUGUUUUUUUUCACACUGUGAGGAACCUCCUCUUCAUAUGGCACCUGCUGUGUGACAGGAAACGUGGGACAGAGCAGUCAGAAGCUCAUUCUGAGCACUUGCCACUCCUUAUGAAUAAGUAAAUUGGAUCUGUCUUACUUCAUAUUCUAAAAUUGGGGAAAAGACACAUUGAGAUAAUUGAAAUGACCAUUUUGGUGCUUUGAAUUAUUUUUAGCUUGGGAAUCCUCAAAUGAAGCCACCUCCCCUUUACUCACUUUUUGCUCUUUCUAGUUAAAUCCCUACCCUGAUGAAGGGAAUUCACAUUUCCUUGAAGGAGCAAUUAUAUUCUUAUCUGUUAAAACCAUUGUUAAAUAAGUCAGCUGGUCCCAAAUAUACAAUUUAACUUUAAGGAGAUCAAGAAAGAAAUAGUAACUCCAGGAACAGCUGCUAGAGGAUAUCAAUUAACUGCAUCCAUUUUAAUCAACUCUUUAGGCCGGUCAUUCGAUUGAUUAAUUCAUUAUUAUUAUUAGUGGAUGACUUAAACCGCUGGAGCAGAGACCAUCUCCAGCAUCAUUAAACCACUGAGCCACUGCGCCUCUUCAUUAAUUGAUUGUUUGAUUAUUGUAAUUGUUUCAUCUUUAGAUCAUGGUAAUCAUACCUAUCAGCUAUUUACACUAAUAAAAUAUUCAUGGGCCAAUAGUAUACUAAAAAUAUGAAACUGAGUCUUCUCUGAGUCUUCUCAGGCACAUAAAGAUAGCAACUUCUACAUACCAUUCAAAAGAGACAAUCAAAAAGCCAAAGAAAAAGAAAACGACCAAAACACCUCCUUACUAACAAU